GGGUGUCUGCCUGGGCACAGUGCUCUGUUGGAAUUAACCACCGACGCUAACAAUUUCAACAAAGUAACUUCACCACUGCUCCAGGUUCUAAGCGUGGCUCAGAGCUCGCCGGCUGUUUUGGGAGAGGAGAGAUACUCAUCGGUAAUUGCACUUUCCUAAGGAAAAGGUUGAGACUUGGCAAGGCCGAUUAAGGUCACAGAGCUGGUGGGUAGCUGGUCUGCCGCAACAGACUGUCUCAGCUCCAAAAGAGCCCAGGGCUUUAGGAACCUGUACAGGGCAUGAGAAUGAUUAUACACUGCCAGUAAUGGUAAUACUGAGAAAUCACUAGAGCAGGCUGGUCUCAAACUAGUAGGGCCUACGGUGAGUUUAGUGGGUUUGCCUCUAGGUCCUAGGGACAGGAGCACCUACUACUCUUACCAGACCUGCUGGGCCUUGGAAGAAUGAUCCCAGAGUGGAGGUAAUCGAAAGCAUUGCCACCCCGGUCUCAUUGGAUCUCUUUCAUUGAAUCCAUGACGCACACUCAGGUGUCCCAAUCAGACUGAGUGUGGUGCGUUAUAGCUUCUGGCUUCUGCUGGCCCUGCCCAUAGAGGCUGGCUCUCCUGGUUCCUGUCUGCUGAGGACUGGACCUGGGACUGGAGUGAUGUGGCCUCAGAGUGUUCCACCGUCAGAGCCUUGGCAAGUGCCACCUCUAUCUUCAGGCUGCUAACUGGUCAAGGAGGCAAACCUUGGAACCCUUUGGGCCUGCCAACCCUGUGGCCCUGAGGGCAGUGAUUCCCAGCGUAGCUCUUCAUUUCUCCACCUCUUCAAUGGCACAGCGGGGACUCAUCUUCAUCAUCAUCUUCUUUUCGGUGGAAAAUUAUCACUAUCUAUUUGGGAAUGGUAAAAUAAGUUAGAGAGGUAUAUGUUUUUAUUUCUGAAUGUUCGUUUCUGUAUAUCUGAAUGUCUUUUUUUAAGAUUAUAAUAUAAUUACAACAUUUCUCCCUUCUCUUUCCUCCCUCCAAACUCUCCCAUAUACCUCUCCUUGCUCUCUUUCAACACUACUUAAAGAUCUACAGGCAACUAACCCUGAAAACACUCAUACGAGUAACAUUCUAACCAAUUAGGUUAUAUUUAGGAAUACAUAUUUAUGUGAUAACAAUUAAUAAAAAGGAUGCUAAUUUCUAUGUA
Peromyscus californicus insignis is the source of this 1167-nucleotide long non-coding RNA. RefSeq lists it as uncharacterized. The transcript is spliced from 2 exons. NCBI's taxonomy places the organism in Eukaryota, Metazoa, Chordata, Mammalia, Rodentia, Cricetidae. The record is from RefSeq and is a predicted model, not a curated record.